GAUGAACGCUGGCGGCGUGCCUAAUACAUGCAAGUCGAGCGAACGGACGAGAAGCUUGCUUCUCUGAUGUUAGCGGCGGACGGGUGAGUAACACGUGGAUAACCUACCUAUAAGACUGGGAUAACUUCGGGAAACCGGAGCUAAUACCGGAUAAUAUUUUGAACCGCAUGGUUCAAAAGUGAAAGACGGUCUUGCUGUCACUUAUAGAUGGAUCCGCGCUGCAUUAGCUAGUUGGUAAGGUAAUGGCUUACCAAGGCAACGAUGCAUAGCCGACCUGAGAGGGUGAUCGGCCACACUGGAACUGAGACACGGUCCAGACUCCUACGGGAGGCAGCAGUAGGGAAUCUUCCGCAAUGGGCGAAAGCCUGACGGAGCAACGCCGCGUGAGUGAUGAAGGUCUUCGGAUCGUAAAACUCUGUUAUUAGGGAAGAACAUAUGUGUAAGUAACUGUGCACAUCUUGACGGUACCUAAUCAGAAAGCCACGGCUAACUACGUGCCAGCAGCCGCGGUAAUACGUAGGUGGCAAGCGUUAUCCGGAAUUAUUGGGCGUAAAGCGCGCGUAGGCGGUUUUUUAAGUCUGAUGUGAAAGCCCACGGCUCAACCGUGGAGGGUCAUUGGAAACUGGAAAACUUGAGUGCAGAAGAGGAAAGUGGAAUUCCAUGUGUAGCGGUGAAAUGCGCAGAGAUAUGGAGGAACACCAGUGGCGAAGGCGACUUUCUGGUCUGUAACUGACGCUGAUGUGCGAAAGCGUGGGGAUCAAACAGGAUUAGAUACCCUGGUAGUCCACGCCGUAAACGAUGAGUGCUAAGUGUUAGGGGGUUUCCGCCCCUUAGUGCUGCAGCUAACGCAUUAAGCACUCCGCCUGGGGAGUACGACCGCAAGGUUGAAACUCAAAGGAAUUGACGGGGACCCGCACAAGCGGUGGAGCAUGUGGUUUAAUUCGAAGCAACGCGAAGAACCUUACCAAAUCUUGACAUCCUUUGACAACUCUAGAGAUAGAGCCUUCCCCUUCGGGGGACAAAGUGACAGGUGGUGCAUGGUUGUCGUCAGCUCGUGUCGUGAGAUGUUGGGUUAAGUCCCGCAACGAGCGCAACCCUUAAGCUUAGUUGCCAUCAUUAAGUUGGGCACUCUAAGUUGACUGCCGGUGACAAACCGGAGGAAGGUGGGAAUGACGUCAAAUCAUCAUGCCCCUUAUGAUUUGGGCUACACACGUGCUACAAUGGACAAUACAAAGGGCAGCGAAACCGCGAGGUCAAGCAAAUCCCAUAAAGUUGUUCUCAGUUCGGAUUGUAGUCUGCAACUCGACUACAUGAAGCUGGAAUCGCUAGUAAUCGUAGAUCAGCAUGCUACGGUGAAUACGUUCCCGGGUCU
Molecule: ribosomal RNA, 1372 nt
Filed under: uncultured bacterium
Lineage: Bacteria
Description: 16S ribosomal RNA
Rfam family: Bacterial small subunit ribosomal RNA
Source: RNAcentral